CCCUUAGAUGUUCUGGGCUGCACGCGUGCUACACUGAUAUUGCCAAUAUGUCAUUCUUAUCCGAAAUGGAUUGGGUAAUCAAGUAAUGAAGUUUCAUGCUUGGAAUCGGUAAUUGCAAUUUUAUCGUGAACGAGGAAUUCCUAGUAAGCACUAGUCAUCAGCUAAUGUUGAUUAUGUCCCUGCCCUUUGUACACACCGCCCGUCGCUACUACUGAUUGGGUGUUCAAGUGAGAUGCUUAGACCCUUGUUGCAUGGUUCAUUAUUGUGCUCCGAAAGGAAAAAGUUUCAAGCUUGAGUGUCUAGAGGAAGUAAAAGUCGUAACA
RNAcentral lists this ribosomal RNA (323 nucleotides) under uncultured eukaryote. RNAcentral's name for it is "partial 18S ribosomal RNA". It matches the Rfam family "Eukaryotic small subunit ribosomal RNA", at positions 1470 to 1796 of the family's 1831-position model. The record is from RNAcentral.